This 433-nucleotide ribosomal RNA is filed under the name uncultured bacterium. RNAcentral describes it as "partial 16S ribosomal RNA". It matches the Rfam family "Bacterial small subunit ribosomal RNA", at positions 29 to 507 of the family's 1533-position model. The record is from RNAcentral.
AGCGAACGCUGGCGGCAGGCCUAACACAUGCAAGUCGAACGAACUCUUCGGAGUUAGUGGCGGACGGGUGAGUAACACGUGGGAACGUGCCUUUUGGUUCGGAAUAACUCAGGGAAACUUGUGCUAAUACCGAAUGUGCCCUUCGGGGGAAAGAUUUAUCGCCAUUAGAGCGGCCCGCGUCUGAUUAGCUAGUUGGUGAGGUAACGGCUCACCAAGGCGACGAUCAGUAGCUGGGCUGAGAGGAUGACCAGCCACACUGGGACUGAGACACGGCCCAGACUCCUACGGGAAGCAGCAGUGGGGAAUCUUGCGCAAUGGGCGAAAGCCUGACGCAGCCAUGCCGCGUGAAUGAUGAAGGUCUUAGGAUUGUAAAAUUCUUUCACCGGGGACGAUAAUGACGGUACCCGGAGAAGAAGCCCCGGCUAACUUCGUG